RNAcentral lists this ribosomal RNA (497 nucleotides) under uncultured bacterium. RNAcentral describes it as "partial 16S ribosomal RNA". It matches the Rfam family "Bacterial small subunit ribosomal RNA", at positions 28 to 507 of the family's 1533-position model. The record is from RNAcentral.
GACGAACGCUGGCGGCGUGCCUAAUACAUGCCAGUAGAACGCUGAAGCGAGGAGCUUGCUCUUCUUGGAUGAGUUGCGAACGGGUGAGUAACGCGUAGGUAACCUGCCUGGUAGCGGGGGAUAACUAUUGGAAACGAUAGCUAAUACCGCAUAACAACAGUUGUUGCAUGACAGCUGUUUAAAAGAUGCAAUUGCAUCACUACCAGAUGGACCUGCGUUGUAUUAGCUAGUUGGUGAGGUAACGGCGCACCAAGGCGACGAUACAUAGCCGAACUGAGAGGAUGGGCAGCCGGACUGGGAGGGAGACACGGCACAGAGGCCUACGGGGGGGGGCCAUAGGGAAACGUGGGCAAGGAGGGGAAAACUGACCGAACAACGCCGAGGGAGGGAGGAAGAAUGUCGGGUCGGAGAGCUCGGUUGUAAGGGAAGAACGGGUGUGAGAGUGGAAAGUACACACUGUGACGGUAACUUACCAGAAAGGAACGGCUAACUACGUG